AGGAAUACAGACAUCGGGUUUCAGGGCUCACGCUGCUCGCCGUGGAUUUUCCCUCGAGGAGAAUUAGGGUUCAAGAUUCUGCCGAAAUCGUCACCACUCUCUUCAGGUUGCGAAAACUGCUGAAAGGAUGGGACACAAUGGCAAAAAUGAGAUUAUGGUCCACGAGACUGAGGCAUCUGAAUGCCCGGGUGCUAUGGUUGAGAUAAAGAUAAAGACAUUGGAUUCCCAAACUUACACAUUACGUGUAGAUAAAUGUGUUCCUGUUCCUGCAUUGAAGGAGCAAAUUGCCUCUGUUACUGGGGUUGUGUCGGAACAGCAGCGCUUGAUAUGUCGUGGAAAAGUUUUGAAGGAUGAUCAACUACUAUCAGCUUAUCAUGUUGAAGAUGGUCACACUCUUCAUUUGGUUGUCAGACAACCAAUUCCACCGGAAGGUUCAACUAAUAACAAUCCAGAGGCUGAUCCCGCUUCGAGUGCUGGUGACAACCAGGGUAGUCAAAGAUCGCGAGUAGUGGUGGGAUCCUUCAAUAUUGCUGAGCAAGAUGGAGCCUAUUCAGAUCUUGGUCAGAUUGUUUCAGCUGUUCUUGGUUCACUUGGCAUCGGUAAUGUGGAAAGUGGUAUUGAAGGAGUGGAUACUAUGGGAUCACUGCAUGAGAGAUUGUCACGACAUUCUGGGCCUAGCACUGCAAGAGAUUCCAUGGGGGGGCGUUCUGACACAACAAAUGCCACAAACCAGACUUCUGCACCUACGACGUCUCCACAACCAACGGUAAUUCCAGAUUCUUUAACAACUUUAUCUGAAUAUCUAAAUCGUCUCCGACAACAAUUUGCUGCUAAUGGGGGUAACGCCACCAACUUGCUAGCUUCUGGAAAUUCUAUGGGGGAUGCGCAAGAACCCGGUCUUCCUGGUGGAGAGAGUCGGCUUCCAAGACCAACUGAUCUGGCUGAUGUGCUGCGUUCGACAAGGCAAUUGUUGAUUGGUGAAGUAGCAGAAUGCCUAUCUAAUCUGUCAAGGCAGCUUGAGGAUCAUGUAAAUGUGACAGAUCCAUCUACUCGAAGGUUGUUCCAGUCAAACAUGCUCCAAUCUGGAUUUCUGUUGGAGAAUUUAGGUGCUUCACUUCUUGAGCUUGGUCGCACCACCAUGAUGCUACGUUUGGGGCAAACUCCGGAUGAUGCAGUUGUAAAUGCGGGACCUGCAGUGUUCAUAUCGUCUACAGGGCGAAAUCCCUUACCGGCACACCCCGCUUUACUGGGAGGAGCGAGUAUGGGGGCAUUUCAAGCUGGAAGUGCACAACCUAGUCCAUUUUCUGGUGGAUCACUUGGUUCUGCUGCAAGGAAUAUCGAGAUAAGAAUACGCACAGGAUCGUGGACGCCAUCUUCUGGCUCCCACCAGAGAGAAGAAACUGCUACCCAGCCGACCCAUGGGCGGUCAACUCCUUCAGCACCUGGUUUUACUGAUUUGAUCCCUCCGACAAGAGGGGUAUCUGAAUCUUCUCGGAAUCCUGUGGCAUUAGUCAUACCAGUCCUAGCUAGAUAUCAGCAGGUAUCUUUGGGUGAACGUAGUAGCUCUACGGGAUUAGACGCUAUACAUCAGCCUGCUCCCGAAUCCUCUAGGCCGCAGGGCAACCCUGGAAGAGAAGUUCGAGGUCUGUUGGAGCUUCGGAAUCGGAUUCAGCAGAUCCUUACGCGUCGUGAGCAACAAGAGCAACAAAACCAAGUGGCCAACUCUGAGUCUCAUAAUGCAACCAAUCCCUCUGUCACAGCAGUCUCUACAGAGACAAGCGAGGGUGCACAAGAUGGAGAGGCAGUGGUCACGGAUGAAGGGAACUUCAUAUCAAGUGUGCUUCAACAGAUUAUGCCAUUUAUAUCUCAGAAUGUGGCAUCGAGUUCAGAUGACGCUGCGGGGAGAGACAGCAGCACUAGCAGACAAGUUGCUUCAGCUGAGGGACGAGACUCUGAUGGGGCUUCAAGCCGGAGACCUGAUCCUCCUUCUCCUCCAGAUUCUAAACGUCCUAGGAGAAACUGAUAUUUUUUAUGUACUUGGCGGGUUCCAAUCUGGGGAGCAGAACAAAGAUAUGAUAUGAGAGUGAGAACAGUUGAAACCAAAGUGUAAUCAAUUUGUUUUUUAGCAUAAAAUGUGUCCGACCGUUUGCAUGUCACUAAGCAUCGGAGUUCAUUGGCCGACAGCCCCACAAUUCGGCCUCCCUUUUGCUGCGGCAAAUUCCGGCCGUCAAUGUGAACCGUUUGAUUGUUUUGUCCUUUGGAAAGGAGCUUCCUGGGUGAGUGUCUCUUUCUCUCUGUCUGUCUCUCUCUCUCAUCUUCUGCUUGUUAAAAGCCCAAACGUGCAAAAGGGAUGUUGAUGUAACACCUAUUGUUUUGGAUAGAGCCCGUGGGUUGUAUACUCGUCCUCGGCCGUUUGGAUAUUUUGAUCGAGGUAUCUCGGCAAAGGUGGAUAUCCAACCCCCCAGUAUCCAUGGGGUGGGGAUUCAGGUAUUA
Tarenaya hassleriana is the source of this 2493-nucleotide RNA transcript. It is a transcript of the gene named large proline-rich protein bag6-B, with no coding region annotated. The record is from RefSeq and is a predicted model, not a curated record. The transcript is spliced from 17 exons. Lineage: Eukaryota; Viridiplantae; Streptophyta; Magnoliopsida; Brassicales; Cleomaceae.